GGGCCCGCACAAGCGGUGGAGCAUGUGGUUUAAUUCGAUGAUACGCGAGGAACCUUACCAGGGCUUAAAUGGGAAAUGACAGGGGCAGAGACGCCCCCUUCUUCGGACAUUUUUCAAGGUGCUGCAUGGUUGUCGUCAGCUCGUGCCGUGAGGUGUCAGGUUAAGUCCUAUAACGAGCGCAACCCCUACCGUUAGUUGCCAGCGUGUAAUGACGGGGACUCUAACGGAACUGCCGGUGCAAACCGUGAGGAAGGUGGGGACGACGUCAAAUCAUCACGGCCCUUACGUCCUGGGCCACACACGUGCUACAAUGGUAGGUACAGAGGGAAGCCACCCCGCGAGGGGGAGCGGAUCUCACAAAACCGAUCGUAGUCCGGAUUGCAGUCUGCAACUCGACUGCAUG
Molecule: ribosomal RNA, 403 nt
Filed under: uncultured bacterium
Lineage: Bacteria
Description: bacterial SSU rRNA
Rfam family: Bacterial small subunit ribosomal RNA
Source: RNAcentral